Molecule: small nuclear RNA, 104 nt
Organism: Sciurus carolinensis (gray squirrel)
Lineage: Eukaryota; Metazoa; Chordata; Mammalia; Rodentia; Sciuridae
Source: RefSeq, a predicted model, not a curated record
ACUUUUAAAAUCUCAAGUAUUCACUAAAAUUGGAAUGACAUAGAAGAUUAGCAUGGCUCCUGUGCAAGGAUGACAUGCAUAUUUGUGAAGCGUUCUAUAUUUUU